UUUUAUUUUAAGAUUAUUUUUUAUUGUUGAAAAAAUCAAAAAUAAAUUGUUUAAAACCAAAAUUAAAAUUUAUAAUAUUUCCGUUUUUUAUUUUUAGUUAAAAAUAAAAAUAAUAAAUAUGAAAAAUAGAAAAAUUUUGUUAUAAAUUAAAUUGGUUUUUUAAAAUUAAAA
Molecule: ribosomal RNA, 171 nt
Filed under: Meloidogyne haplanaria
Lineage: Eukaryota; Metazoa; Nematoda; Chromadorea; Rhabditida; Meloidogynidae
Description: partial 16S ribosomal RNA
Source: RNAcentral